CUAAGUCUAACAGGGACUCCCACAAAUGUUACAUAUGUGUGAAUGUCUGCUACCCCCUUAACCUAUCCGCUGCAAUUGGCACGGAUUUGGCUUUCACUGGUAGCCUGGUAACGUAUAGUCACAGGCCUUUCUCUGAACUGUGGUGGAUAGUGGAGUGUUUCCCAUGUGGUAUUGGUGUGCUGGAUAUCCCUUCACUGAUAGCCUGGUAACAUACACUCCCAGGUCUUUCUCUGCCUCUGUGGUGGAUAGUGGAGUGUUUCCCAUGUGGUAUUGGUGUGCUGGAUAUCCCUUCACUGGUAGCCUGGUAACAUACACUCCCAGGUCUUUCUCUGCCUCUGUGGUGGAUAGUGGAGUGUUUCCCAUGUGGUAUUGGUGUGCUGGAUAUCCCUUCACUGGUAGCCUGGUAACAUACACUCCCAGGUCUUUCUCUGCCUCUGUGGUGGAUAGUAGAGUGUUUCCCAUGUGGUAUUGGUGUGCUGGAUAUCCCUUCACUGGUAGCCUGGUAACAUACACUCCCAGGUCUUUCUCUGCCUCUGUGGUGGAUAGUAGAGUGUUUCCCAUGUGGUAUUGGUGUGCUGGAUAUCCCUUCACUGGUAGCCUGGUAACAUAAAUAUACUCCCAGGCCUUUCUCUGCCUCUGUGUUGGAUAGUGGAGUGUUUCCCAUGUGGUAUUGGUGUGCUGGAUAUCCCUUCACUGGUAGCCUGGUAACAUACACUCCCAGGUCUUUCUCUGCCUCUGUGAUGGAUAGUGGAGUGUUUCCCAUGUGGUAUUGGUGUGCUGGAUAUCCCUUCACUGGUAGCCUGGUAACAUACACUCCCAGGUCUUUCUCUGCCUCUGUGGUGGAUAGUGGAGUGUUUCCCAUGUGGUAUUGGUGUGCUGGAUAUCCCUUCACUGGUAGCCUGGUAACAUACA
Long non-coding RNA from Eriocheir sinensis (Chinese mitten crab), 912 nucleotides. RefSeq lists it as uncharacterized. NCBI's taxonomy places the organism in Eukaryota, Metazoa, Arthropoda, Malacostraca, Decapoda, Varunidae. The transcript is spliced from 4 exons. The record is from RefSeq and is a predicted model, not a curated record.